Podarcis lilfordi (Lilford's wall lizard) is the source of this 70-nucleotide non-coding RNA. Lineage: Eukaryota; Metazoa; Chordata; Lepidosauria; Squamata; Lacertidae. The record is from the annotation of a GenBank genome assembly.
GGUUGUGGCUUAGUGGCAAAGCAUCUGCUUCGCAUGCAGAAGGUCUCAGGUUCAAUCCCUAGGAAGAGCU